RNAcentral lists this ribosomal RNA (476 nucleotides) under Pseudomonas aeruginosa. Its description in RNAcentral is "bacterial SSU rRNA". It matches the Rfam family "Bacterial small subunit ribosomal RNA", at positions 1046 to 1522 of the family's 1533-position model. Lineage: Bacteria; Pseudomonadati; Pseudomonadota; Gammaproteobacteria; Pseudomonadales; Pseudomonadaceae. The record is from RNAcentral.
UGGCUGUCGUCAGCUCGUGUCGUGAGAUGUUGGGUUAAGUCCCGUAACGAGCGCAACCCUUGUCCUUAGUUACCAGCACCUCGGGUGGGCACUCUAAGGAGACUGCCGGUGACAAACCGGAGGAAGGUGGGGAUGACGUCAAGUCAUCAUGGCCCUUACGGCCAGGGCUACACACGUGCUACAAUGGUCGGUACAAAGGGUUGCCAAGCCGCGAGGUGGAGCUAAUCCCAUAAAACCGAUCGUAGUCCGGAUCGCAGUCUGCAACUCGACUGCGUGAAGUCGGAAUCGCUAGUAAUCGUGAAUCAGAAUGUCACGGUGAAUACGUUCCCGGGCCUUGUACACACCGCCCGUCACACCAUGGGAGUGGGUUGCUCCAGAAGUAGCUAGUCUAACCGCAAGGGGGACGGUUACCACGGAGUGAUUCAUGACUGGGGUGAAGUCGUAACAAGGUAGCCGUAGGGGAACCUGCGGCUGGA